CGCGGGGUGGAGCAGCCCGGUAGCUCGUCGGGCUCAUAACCCGAAGGUCGUCAGUUCAAAUCUGGCCCCCACAACCA
Molecule: transfer RNA, 77 nt
Filed under: Limnobaculum zhutongyuii
Lineage: Bacteria; Pseudomonadati; Pseudomonadota; Gammaproteobacteria; Enterobacterales; Budviciaceae
Description: Pragia sp. CF-458 tRNA-Met
Rfam family: tRNA
About the family: Transfer RNA (tRNA) molecules are approximately 80 nucleotides in length. Their secondary structure includes four short double-helical elements and three loops (D, anti-codon, and T loops).
Source: RNAcentral